This 500-nucleotide ribosomal RNA is filed under the name uncultured bacterium. Its description in RNAcentral is "bacterial SSU rRNA". It matches the Rfam family "Bacterial small subunit ribosomal RNA", at positions 29 to 521 of the family's 1533-position model. The record is from RNAcentral.
AACGAACGCUGGCGGCGCGCCUAAUACAUGCAAGUCGAGCGAGAAGACGUAGCAAUACGUUUGUAAAGCGGCGAACGGGUGAGGAAUACAUGGGUAACCUACCCUCGAGUGGGGAAUAACUAGCCGAAAGGUUAGCUAAUACCGCGUACGCUCCUUGGACUUCGGUUCAGGGAGGAAAGCGAUACCAUGGGUAUCGCGCUCUUGGAUGGGCUCAUGUCCUAUCAGCUUGUUGGUGAGGUAACGGCUCACCAAGGCUUCGACGGGUAGCUGGUCUGAGAGGACGAUCAGCCACACUGGCACUGCGACACGGGCCAGACUCCUACGGGAGGCAGCAGUAAGGAAUAUUGCGCAAUGGGCGAAAGCCUGACGCAGCGACGCCGCGUGGGGGAUGAAGGUCUUCGGAUUGUAAACCCCUUUCGGGAGGGAAGAUGGAAUGGGGUAACCCAUUCGGACGUACCUCCAGAAGCAGCCACGGCUAACUUCGUGCCAGCAGCCGCAGU